GGUUGUGGCUCAGUGGUAGAGUGCUCGCCCAGCAUGCAGGAGGUAUUGGGGUCGAUCCUCGGCACCA
RNAcentral lists this transfer RNA (67 nucleotides) under Marmota monax (woodchuck). Its description in RNAcentral is "tRNA.Ala". Lineage: Eukaryota; Metazoa; Chordata; Mammalia; Rodentia; Sciuridae. The record is from RNAcentral.